This 449-nucleotide ribosomal RNA is filed under the name uncultured bacterium. Its description in RNAcentral is "partial 16S ribosomal RNA". It matches the Rfam family "Bacterial small subunit ribosomal RNA", at positions 29 to 523 of the family's 1533-position model. The record is from RNAcentral.
AACGAACGCUGGCGGCAUGCCUAACACAUGCAAGUCGAACGAAGGCUUCGGCCUUAGUGGCGCACGGGUGAGUAACUCGUGGGAAACUGCCGAUUGGUGGGGAAUAACGACGGGAAACUGGCGCUAAUACCGCAUAAGCCCUUCGGAGGAAAGAUUUAUCGGCGAGAGAUGUGCCCGCUUCCGAUUAGCUAGUUGGUGGGGUAAUGGCUCACCAAGGCGACGAUCGGUAGCUGGUCUGAGAGGAUGAUAAGCCACACUGGGACUGAGACACGGCCCAGACUCCUACGGGAGGCAGCAGUGGGGAAUAUUGGACAAUGGGCGAAAGCCUGAUCCAGCAAUGCCGCGUGAGUGAUGAAGGCCUUAGGGUUGUAAAGCUCUUUCGGGUGGGACGAUGAUGACGGUACCACCAGAAGAAGCCCCGGCUAACCUCGUGCCAGCAGCCGCCGUAA